UACGGGGGGGGCAAGCGUUGUUCGGAAUCACUGGGCGUAAAGCGCACGUAGGCGGGUCUUUAAGUCAGGGGUGAAAUCCUGGAGCUCAACACCAGAACUGCCUUUGAUACUGAGGAUCUCGAGUCCGGGAGAGGUGAGUGGAACUCCGAGUGUAGAGGUGAAAUUCGUAGAUAUUCGGAAGAACACCAGUGGCGAAGGCGGCUCACUGGCCCGGUACUGACGCUGAGGUGCGAAAGCGUGGGGAGCAAACAGG
RNAcentral lists this ribosomal RNA (253 nucleotides) under uncultured bacterium. Its description in RNAcentral is "partial 16S ribosomal RNA". It matches the Rfam family "Bacterial small subunit ribosomal RNA", at positions 524 to 776 of the family's 1533-position model. The record is from RNAcentral.